GCAUAUUACAUAUAUACACACAGAAGCAGACAGGAUAAGACUAGCGUCAUAUCUGAGACAGUAACCAGGGCCGGACUGUUUCUGAAACCUCCAUCAUUUUCAUUGUGCAACAACACGGCAGCAGAGGACAAUUUGAUUUUGUCUUGGGAAUAAAGCACUACUGGAAAUCACAGGUCUCAGAUCAACACACGAUCUGCUCCACGAUCUGUGCCACAGUAAAUCUUAUGCAGUGCUACUUUUAAAACUCUCACAUAUUUGGACAAUCUAUAAUCUUCUACCACAAAAACAUACAAUUGUUCAUUGAAGUAAACACACAGAGCAGCAGUGGAUCUUUUAAAAAUGUGUUUUCUUUAUUUUGAUUUGCUGCUAACUGCAAGGUUUUUAUUUGUAGUUUUUGUAGUAGGAAGCACUGCAAAAACUACAAAUAAAAACAAAGUGCAGUUAACAAAUGUAGUGCUCUCCUGUAUGUAAAACCCUCACCUGAAUUUUUAGGUUUUUCAGUUCAAGCCAAAUAAAUGAAACCCAAAAAUUCAAUCCCAACAAUCAAAUGAUCCCCUAUGAGCAAGCACUCUGGCAACGGUGGAGAGGAAAAACUCCCUUUUAACAGGAAGAAACCUCUGGCAGAACCAGGCUCAGGGAGGGGCGGUCUUCUGCCAUGACUGGUUGGGGUGUGAGGAGCAAAAUAAAAUCAAACAUAAAGGAGAGCACAGAAUAUUUAUGACAGGUUGGUGGGCUGUGGCUGGAGUCCAAAGAUGCUCGAGUCCCACCUAAGGUGAUUCGAAGCGAUGAGAACCUUGUACCAAAAAUGGCUAUGAGGAUCGACCCAGAAGGGCAGACCGAAGAAACGGUGGAUGGACAAAAUCAAGGAAGACAUUAAGACCGUCAACGCAUCACCCGUCACGCCUUGGACAGAAGCAAAUGGAGAAACCUUUGCUGAAGAGCGGACCCUGCACCAGCGGGAACAACGCCAGGAUGAAGGUGGACUGUGGCUGGAAAACAUCAUUACUGUUUUUAAAGGGUUUCUGGUCCACAUCCACAAUUACUGUAAUUGUGGAUGUGGACCAGAAUCCACAAUUGUAGCGAUCAUGAUAGUAAUCAUGAUCCCACAGAGCGGGACAUUCACUUUAGCCGAAAAGCUUUGAGAUGGCCCAGCAAGCUGCAGGAACAACAAUGGCCGCUGUGGCAAGACCUACUUUAAGUAGGCUUUUGGCACCAUGACACCACGAACCAUGGGUCUCAGCCUCCUCAGGUUCAGGAGCAUUGCUAUUUAUUAUACACUGUGCUUCUUCCACUAGGCGCUGAUGAUUUUCCACAGUUUUCCUGAGUUCUGCGUUUUCUUUUAUAAUAUUUUCGUACCCUCUUCUGAGUUCUGCGUUUUCUUCCUUGAGUUCUGCGGUUUUUUUUGUAAUAUUUUCGUACCCUCUUCUGAGUUCUGCGUUUUCUUCCCUGAGUUCUGUGUCUUCUUUUGUAAUAUUUUCGUACCCUCUUCUGAGUUCUGCGUUUUCUUCUCCGAGUUCUGCGGUUUUUUUUGUAAUAUUUUCGUACCCUCUUCUGAGUUCUGCGUUUUCUUUUCCAAGUUCUGCGGUUUUUUUGUAAUAUCUUGGUACUCUCUUCUGAGUUCUCCGUUUUUUGUUUGUAUAUUUUCGUACCCUCUUCUGAGUUCUGUUUGUUUUUCCCUCAUUUUUUUUAUCUCUUCCCUGUGUUCUCUCCUACUGUCUUUAUACUCUUCGUUGAUUUUAUCUCGGUCCCUUCUAACGUCAGACAGCUGAGUAGCAAUUAUACUGUCUAACUCAGCAUUUAGCUUUACUAAUUCAUUAAUCUGAGACAGUCUAAUAUUAAAAGCCUGAAGCCACAGCCUUAGUAAUUCCAAUCCACUAUUGCUUCCAGAAGGUAAGUUAUUUAAUGAUUCCGGUGACAUUUUUUAAAGGUUUAAAGAACGGUGUCACGGGUUAAAUACGUAUUAGCUUUGUCUAAAACAACUGGCUGUUUCUGAAAAUGCUCCAAUGUAAACUGUUAAAGGCGCUCCCCUAUUUAAGGACUCGGAGACCGUGAAGUCGACCGUGACGUCAGAAUGGUCCUUUGAAGGUCAAAGGAUCAAAGAGCGAGGGGGCGUUCCAAGAUGGCCGAGUAAGUACACGCUUACUGCCGAGCUUAGCAAACGUAACCCUAUAAUACGGUAGGAACACUGUGUCAACUCAGACCUCAGAAGCUUUUUAGGUAUUUAAGCCAGAAAAGGACUGAUUUUGAUCAAUAAAGCGACAAAAUGUCACAGCGUGACAAUAAAAGACCCUCGGCUAGCUCCACAACGAAGCUACUGCUAAAGGCUAAUGCUAGCCAAACAGCCGGGUCGGUAAACCCACUGCUUGACAACUGCCAUGACUACACGGCUCUUUCACUACCUCUCCCAAUAACCGAGGACGUAAUGGACGAGUUUCCACCUCUACCCGUCUCACCCAGCCAGUCUCCGGCGCCAAAGAAAGCGUUGCAUUCAAAGACAGAAUCUCCAACUAUUCCACAUGUGGUCUCUUAUUGGAAUUCCUUUGUCAGUGACAUCAACUGGAAAAGAGCAUGGACAAUUCCUAACAAGUAUCUGGUAACGAAUAAAGUGAAGGAAGUCUCAUUUAAAAUGCUGCAUAAAUUUUAUCCUGCUAAUCAUUAUGUGACAAAGUUCAAAAGGGACAUAAAUGUGAACUGUGGAUUUUGUGGAAGCCAACCUGAGACUGUGCAGCACCUCUUCUGGAUCUGUUCAUACACUAGAACAUUUUGGAAAGACUUCAGUAGAUUCAUUGCUGGACAUCUCUACAAAGACUUUACUGUGAAAUGGGACAAUGUUGUAUUUUGUUUCUUUCGAAGGCAAAAAGAAAGAUGUUUACUUUAUUAUAAACUUUUUAUCUUAGCUAAAUUUUAUUUUCACAAAUGCAAAUACAGUAAUCAAAAGCCUAAUUUUAAACAUUACUAUAAUGAUGUUUUAUGUUACAUAAAAUUGAUUUGUGGAUGACUUAACAAAAAUGCUAUGAAAACUAUUACCAUUUGUAGUAAUUACAAAUUAUUUGAAUGUAUGUAAUUCUUUGUAUUACACCCCCUGGCAUAUGUUAAUUUUGCUCUGGUUGUGUACACGUUCUGUAUACUGUUUCUCAAUAAAGUUUAAUAAUAAUUUUAAAAAAGGA
Molecule: long non-coding RNA, 3167 nt
Organism: Oreochromis niloticus (Nile tilapia)
Lineage: Eukaryota; Metazoa; Chordata; Actinopteri; Cichliformes; Cichlidae
Exons: 2
Source: RefSeq, a predicted model, not a curated record